RNAcentral lists this ribosomal RNA (435 nucleotides) under Babesia microti. RNAcentral describes it as "SSU rRNA". It matches the Rfam family "Eukaryotic small subunit ribosomal RNA", at positions 439 to 901 of the family's 1831-position model. Lineage: Eukaryota; Apicomplexa; Aconoidasida; Piroplasmida; Babesiidae. The record is from RNAcentral.
AAUUACCCAAUCCUGACACAGGGAGGUAGUGACAAGAAAUAACAAUACAGGGCUUAAAGCCUUGUAAUUGGAAUGAUGGGAAUCUAAACCCUUCCCAGAGUAUCAAUUGGAGGGCAAGUCUGGUGCCAGCAGCCGCGGUAAUUCCAGCUCCAAUAGCGUAUAUUAAAGUUGUUGCAGUUAAGAAGCUCGUAGUUGAAUUUCUGCCUUGUCAUUAAUCUCGCUUCCGAGCGUUUUUUAUUGACUUGGCAUCUUCUGGAUUUGGUGCCUUCGGGUACUAUUUUCCAGGAUUUACUUUGAGAAAACUAGAGUGUUUCAAACAGGCAUUCGCCUUGAAUACUACAGCAUGGAAUAAUGAAGUAGGACUUUGGUUCUAUUUUGUUGGUUAUUGAGCCAGAGUAAUGGUUAAUAGGAGCAGUUGGGGGCAUUCGUAUUUAA